This 368-nucleotide long non-coding RNA is filed under the name Mytilus galloprovincialis (Mediterranean mussel). The record is from RNAcentral. Lineage: Eukaryota; Metazoa; Mollusca; Bivalvia; Mytilida; Mytilidae.
GCCCGCUAACAAAUUGAAACUUUCCAGAUUUUUAGUAUUCGUAUUGUUAUCUUAGAAAGUCUUACGGAUUAAAAUACUACAAUAGGUAACAAUUUGACAAUUAAGUAGUGUCAACCCUGUGAUUAUGACCCGUGUAUAUAGCAUAUUAAUCCUGAAUACACCGUUUGGUGGUGCGCCUGUCAGAUGCGGAACGUACAGAUAAGGUAAUAGGUAACAGGUGAUUAUACUAUUGGUAUCGGUAUCGGACUCGACCCGGAACUUCCUAAUUAUUGGCAAUAUUAAUUACGUGGAAAACAAAAGGGCCUGGAGUGGUGUAAUUUUUAAUCUACACCUUUGUACUAUAUUAGCUGUAUAUAAAGUUGAAUUCU